AGUACCUAAAAUAGUGAAUGUGCAAUAAAUGUUAUAAUCUAUUAUUAGAAGUUUUCCCUUUUCUCUACCUACAGGUGAACUUUACAAAUUAGAUCUUCCAGGCUUUGACUGCGGUAAGGCAAAUUUGACAAAUUUCCCCUUUCCAUAAAAACUGGCUUUCAAACUUACUGUCUUGUUAAUGUUCUAAAAUCAACCUUCUUCUCACCUAUGAAUAUGGACUUCAUGAAUGAGUCAAAGAAGGCUUGGCUACAGUCAAUCUAUUUAAAAGGGGAAUUGAAAUAAAUGAGCUUAAUAUUUGACAAUUAUUAUACCUGGUACAUCCUAUUAAAGUGAAUUGAUAUAUGAGUGAUGGGUGAAGAAAUCAAGAGAGAGAUUUUUUUUAAAGUUAAAAUUUGGCAGUAAAGAGAAGGAAAGACAUAGGGAGAGAUGGGAAACGUACAGGUUCCAGGGAGGUUUGCUUGCGCGCUUGCUGUUUGCUGACAAGCUUUUACAGGUGGAAUACUGUAAUAGAGCUCUGUUAAAUAUAACAACCGACAACCUUCUUCCUCUUUUUAUGUUUUCCCUUCUCCUGCCUCCCAUGACUUGGCAGAGUCUAGUUCCAUUCACCUUAAAUCUGGGCUGGCCUUGUGACUUGCUUUGAUCAACAGCUGUGGUAGAAAUGACACUAUGGAAUUUCUAACGUAGGCUUUCAGAGACCUGUAGCUUUCACUUUCACUGUCUUGGGAUCAAGUCUUCAUGAACAGAAACUGAGGCUUAACUUAUGAAGGUGCACAUGGAGAAAGGGGCUUGAUCUGCCCCCAGCUGUCUGGCCACCAUGGAUGAAGCAUCACAUAUAAAUGGGGUUUUACCAUGUUGGCCAGGCUGGUCUUGAACUACUGCCCUCAAGAGAUUCACCUGCUUCAGCCUCCCAAAGUGCUGGGAUUACAGGUACAGAAAAUUUUCAUGGUUCACUGACUGAGGAUGAUCAAUCCCUUCAUGAUCCAUAACUGAAAGAAUGAAUUGUCUGAGAACAUCAAAGAAAGACUCCUCAUGCCAUCCACAUUGCAGCAAAACUUGAGGACCUUGAACCUUUGAUUCAUAAUUUUACAACUCAGAAGCAUCUCUCCACACUCUGGAAACUGGAUACCCUUUGGAACCCUUAAGGUAAGGCUAAUCAGUGAAGUUUUUAUUCCCAGAAGACGGCAUCCUUGAAGUAAACAGCUUUAUCCCAAGAUCACAAAUUAAGUCUUCUCUACUACCAUGAGACUCUUAUCUUUGAAUUUUUCCCCUUAUUUAUGCUUCUAUAAACAAUAAGAGUAAAAAUAGUGUCUGUUGUGUGCACUCAUGGGGUAUACUUUUAUUUUGUGAAGGGUUUGUGGCCAAACUUAUACAUGGAUAACAGAUACGGUUUGGAUUGGUGUCCCCACCCAAACUCAUGUUGAAUUGUAAUCCCCAGUGUUGGUGGAGCAUGGUGGGAGGUGAUUGGAUUAUGGACAUGGUUUCUAAUGAUUUAACAUAAUCCCCUUAGUGCCGUCUUGUGAUAGUUUCUCAUGAGGUCUGGUUGUUUAAAAGUGUGUGGCACCCUCCCAUUUACUCUCCCUCUCCUGCUCUGCCAUGUGCAGAUGUGCCUCUUUUUCUUUCAACUUCUGGCAUGAUUGUAAGUUUCCUUAGGUCUCUCUAGCCAUGCUUCC
Long non-coding RNA from Callithrix jacchus (white-tufted-ear marmoset), 1670 nucleotides. The record is from Ensembl. Lineage: Eukaryota; Metazoa; Chordata; Mammalia; Primates; Cebidae.